GACGAACGCUGGCGGCGUGCUUAACACAUGCAAGUCGAACGGAAAGGCCCUGCUUUUGUGGGGUGCUCGAGUGGCGAACGGGUGAGUAACACGUGAGUAACCUGCCCUUGACUUUGGGAUAACUUCAGGAAACUGGGGCUAAUACCGGAUAGGAGCUCCUGCUGCAUGGUGGGGGUUGGAAAGUUUCGGCGGUUGGGGAUGGACUCGCGGCUUAUCAGCUUGUUGGUGGGGUAGUGGCUUACCAAGGCUUUGACGGGUAGCCGGCCUGAGAGGGUGACCGGCCACAUUGGGACUGAGAUACGGCCCAGACGCCAACGUGAGGCAGCAGUGGGGAAUAUUGCACAAUGGGCGGAAGCCUGAUGCAGCAACGCCGCGUGCGGGAUGACGGCCUUCGGGUUGUAAACCGCUUUCGCCUGUGACGAAGCGUGAGUGACGGUAAUGGGUAAAGAAGCACCGGCUAACUACGUG
Molecule: ribosomal RNA, 468 nt
Filed under: uncultured bacterium
Lineage: Bacteria
Description: partial 16S ribosomal RNA
Rfam family: Bacterial small subunit ribosomal RNA
Source: RNAcentral